AGUGAACGCUAGCGGUAGGCCUAACACAUGCAAGUCGAACGGCAGCACAGUAAGAGCUUGCUCUUACGGGUGGCGAGUGGCGGACGGGUGAGGAAUACAUCGGAAUCUACUUUUUCGUGGGGGAUAACGUAGGGAAACUUACGCUAAUACCGCAUACGACCUACGGGUGAAAGCAGGGGAUCUUCGGACCUUGCGCGAUUGAAUGAGCCGAUGUCGGAUUAGCUAGUUGGCGGGGUAAAGGCCCACCAAGGCGACGAUCCGUAGCUGGUCUGAGAGGAUGAUCAGCCACACUGGAACUGAGACACGGUCCAGACUCCUACGGGAGGCAGCAGUGGGGAAUAUUGGACAAAGGGCGCAAGCCUGAUCCAGCCAUACCGCGUGGGUGAAGAAGGCCUUCGGGUUGUAAAGCCCUUUUGUUGGGAAAGAAAAGCAGCAGGUUAAUACCCCGCUGUUCUGACGGUACCCAAAGAAUAAGCACCGGCUAACUUCGUG
Molecule: ribosomal RNA, 492 nt
Filed under: uncultured bacterium
Lineage: Bacteria
Description: partial 16S ribosomal RNA
Rfam family: Bacterial small subunit ribosomal RNA
Source: RNAcentral